CCUACGGGAGGCUGCAGUGAGGAAUAUUGGUCAAUGGCCGUAAGGCUGAACCAGCAAAGUCGCGUGAAGGAAGAAGGAUCUAUGGUUUGUAAACUUCUUUUAUAGGGGAAUAAAGGGAUCCACGUGUUGAUGUUUGCAUGUCACCUAUGAAUAAGCAUCGGCUAACUACGUGCGAGCAGCCGCGGUAAUACGGAGGAUCAGAGCGUUAUCCGGAUUUAUUGGGUUUAAAGGGUGCGGAGAUGGUUUUUUAAGUCAGGGGUGAAAGUUGUGGGCUCAACCGUAAAAUUGCCGUGGAGACUGGAAGACUAGAGUGUGUGUGAGGUAGGCGGAAUGCGUGGUGUAGCGGUGAAAUGCAUAGAUAUCACGAAGAACUCCGAUGGCGAAGGCAGCUUACUA
This 396-nucleotide ribosomal RNA is filed under the name uncultured bacterium. Its description in RNAcentral is "partial 16S ribosomal RNA". It matches the Rfam family "Bacterial small subunit ribosomal RNA", at positions 338 to 731 of the family's 1533-position model. The record is from RNAcentral.